CCUACGGGGGGCAGCAGUGGGGAAUAUUGGACAAUGGGCGAAAGCCUGAUCCAGCCACGCCGCGUGAGUGAUGAAGGCCUUCGGGUCGUAAAGCUCUGUGGGGAGGGACGAAUAACGCGGUGAAGAACCGCGCUUGACGGUACCUCCUUAGCAAGCACCGGCUAACUUCGUGCCAGCAGCCGCGGUAAUACGAAGGGUGCAAACGUUGCUCGGAAUUAUUGGGCGUAAAGCGCACGUAGGCGGUCCUGUAAGUCGAAUGUGAAAUCCCUCGGCUU
Molecule: ribosomal RNA, 275 nt
Filed under: uncultured bacterium
Lineage: Bacteria
Description: partial 16S ribosomal RNA
Rfam family: Bacterial small subunit ribosomal RNA
Source: RNAcentral